GCCUACGGGAGGCAGCAGUUGGGAAUAUUGGACAAUGGAGGAAACUCUGAUCCAGUGACGCCGCGUGAAGGAAGAAGGUCUUCGGAUUGUAAACUUAUUUUGUCAGGGAAGAAACAAAUGACUGUACCUGAAGAAAAAGCACCGGCUAACUACGUGCCAGCAGCCGCGGUAAUACGUAGGGUGCAAGCGUUAUCCGGAUUUACUGGGUGUAAAGGGCGAGUAGACGGCGAUGCAAGUCAGAUGUGAAAUGCUAGGGCUUAACCUUAGAACUGCAUCUGAAACUGUAUUGCUAGAGUGCAGGAGAG
Molecule: ribosomal RNA, 305 nt
Filed under: uncultured bacterium
Lineage: Bacteria
Description: bacterial SSU rRNA
Rfam family: Bacterial small subunit ribosomal RNA
Source: RNAcentral